Molecule: long non-coding RNA, 762 nt
Organism: Labeo rohita (rohu)
Lineage: Eukaryota; Metazoa; Chordata; Actinopteri; Cypriniformes; Cyprinidae
Exons: 3
Source: RefSeq, a predicted model, not a curated record
GACAGAACCUUAUCGUUCCAAGGCGGUGAAAUGCUGUUCUUUCGAAUUUAUUCAUACGUGAAUCCUCACUGUAAAAAAUAAUUCUGUGGCUUUGUAAAUAUCACAAAAAUAAAAACUUGUAUUAACUUAAUAAAAUCUCUGAGUAUCAUUAAAGAGAUUAUUUGAUUUGGGCUUACCAAAAUUAAUAAGUAAAAAUCCCACAGUUUAUUUUAUCUCUAAUUUACUUGUUCUGCUUAAGUAUGUUUUAAUAAAAAAAUUAAGCAUUUCGCUAACAAAUUAUAUUGUUCACAUGUCCUUAAUGUUUUUGGUACAUUUAAAUGAAAAUAUUUGAGAAAGUUGCAAUUAAACUUGUCAGUUUUAUAAACAGAAAUUACUGCUUAUUUUCUAUCAAUUUCCUUUGUAUUUUGCAUCGACUUAAGAAAUUGAGUAAGUUUCGCGGCUAUCGUGAUCACGUGGACACAACGACCGCGGUCAACAACGGGAAAUCUGCUUGCCGGUCACAAGAAAGCUGAGGCUUAAACCACCUUAAGACUCCUUUAAAAAUGCAGCAUUGACAUCAUCGUCCAAAAACAUCUAAAUAACAACACAAGGCAGGAGGAUGUUGCUGAUCCACCUAUUGAUGUUCAAGAGGAAUUAGCUGUCCUCAACCAACUCCGUGAUCUUUGCAGAGCCUGCUCCUAUCUUGUGGGAUUGACAUGUGCCUUGGACCUGUGAUACCCCAAGAACUUUAAAGGGUUAGUUCAUCCAAAAAUGAAUAUUAGC